RNAcentral lists this ribosomal RNA (441 nucleotides) under uncultured bacterium. RNAcentral describes it as "bacterial SSU rRNA". It matches the Rfam family "Bacterial small subunit ribosomal RNA", at positions 958 to 1397 of the family's 1533-position model. The record is from RNAcentral.
AACGCGAAGAACCUUACCUGGAUUUGACAUGCAGUUGGCGUAGUGAGAAAUUACUAUUUCCCGCAAGGGACAAUUGCACAGGUGCUGCAUGGCUGUCGUCAGCUCGUGCCGUGAGGUGUUGGGUUAAGUCCCGCAACGAGCGCAACCCUUGUCGUUAGUUGCCAGCACGUAAUGGUGGGCACUCUAGCGAGACUGCCCGGGUUAACCGGGAGGAAGGUGAGGAUGACGUCAAGUCCGCAUGGCCUUUAUGUCCAGGGCUACACACGUGCUACAAUGGUCGGUACAGAAGGCAGCAAAACCGUGAGGUGGAGCAAAUCGUAAAAACCGGCCCCAGUUCGGAUUGUAGUCUGCAACUCGACUACAUGAAGAUGGAAUUGCUAGUAAUGGCGGGUCAGCAACACCGCCGUGAAUACGUUCCCGGGCCUUGUACACACCGGCUAC